RNAcentral lists this ribosomal RNA (869 nucleotides) under Staphylococcus aureus. RNAcentral describes it as "partial 23S ribosomal RNA". It matches the Rfam family "Bacterial large subunit ribosomal RNA", at positions 496 to 1373 of the family's 2925-position model. Lineage: Bacteria; Bacillati; Bacillota; Bacilli; Caryophanales; Staphylococcaceae. The record is from RNAcentral.
CAGUACCGUGAGGGAAAGGUGAAAAGCACCCCGGAAGGGGAGUGAAAUAGAACCUGAAACCGUGUGCUUACAAGUAGUCAGAGCCCGUUAAUGGGUGAUGGCGUGCCUUUUGUAGAAUGAACCGGCGAGUUACGAUUUGAUGCAAGGUUAAGCAGUAAAUGUGGAGCCGUAGCGAAAGCGAGUCUGAAUAGGGCGUUUAGUAUUUGGUCGUAGACCCGAAACCAGGUGAUCUACCCUUGGUCAGGUUGAAGUUCAGGUAACACUGAAUGGAGGACCGAACCGACUUACGUUGAAAAGUGAGCGGAUGAACUGAGGGUAGCGGAGAAAUUCCAAUCGAACCUGGAGAUAGCUGGUUCUCUCCGAAAUAGCUUUAGGGCUAGCCUCAAGUGAUGAUUAUUGGAGGUAGAGCACUGUUUGGACGAGGGGCCCCUCUCGGGUUACCGAAUUCAGACAAACUCCGAAUGCCAAUUAAUUUAACUUGGGAGUCAGAACAUGGGUGAUAAGGUCCGUGUUCGAAAGGGAAACAGCCCAGACCACCAGCUAAGGUCCCAAAAUAUAUGUUAAGUGGAAAAGGAUGUGGCGUUGCCCAGACAACUAGGAUGUUGGCUUAGAAGCAGCCAUCAUUUAAAGAGUGCGUAAUAGCUCACUAGUCGAGUGACACUGCGCCGAAAAUGUACCGGGGCUAAACAUAUUACCGAAGCUGUGGAUUGUCCUUUGGACAAUGGUAGGAGAGCGUUCUAAGGGCGUUGAAGCAUGAUCGUAAGGACAUGUGGAGCGCUUAGAAGUGAGAAUGCCGGUGUGAGUAGCGAAAGACGGGUGAGAAUCCCGUCCACCGAUUGACUAAGGUUUCCAGAGGAAGGCUCGUCCGC